Molecule: long non-coding RNA, 1163 nt
Filed under: Crocodylus porosus (Australian saltwater crocodile)
Lineage: Eukaryota; Metazoa; Chordata; Crocodylia; Crocodylidae
Description: lncRNA (ENSCPRG00005006239.1)
Source: RNAcentral
CUGCAGAGCUGCUGCUUGGCCAGUCAGUCCCCAGCCUGUACUUGUGCAUAGGAUUGUUCCAUUCUAAGUGCAGGACAUUUGCACUUGUCCUUACUGAACCUCAUGAUAUUUGUUUUGGCCCAAUCCUCCAAUUUGUCUAGGUCUGUCUGAAUCCUAGCUCUACCUUCCAGUGCAUCUACUAGGUCUGUUGGGGAGGCUUCCUGCUCUGCAGAAGUUUGGCCCAUGUAGCAAGAACAAGAGGCGGGAGUUUGCCCCUCCACUGAACCUUACCAGAAUCAGCAAAACUGUGAUGGGUUUGGAAGGAGUGCACUUUUCUUUUCUGGUGGAGGAACACUGGGAGAAGCUGGGCUACCUGAAGAAUAGCUGGACAUAAGAGAUCCAUCUCCACCCAACUCACUGACAGGCUGGCUAUCUGGCAAUACACCCAACAUAGUUGUGCUCUACUGAAUCUCACACCCUUCUCAGCAUCAGCAAACCCCUGUGAAUACAGGCAGUCCUCGACUUACAACGUUUUGAGUUACAACGUUUUGCACUUACAACAUUUAUAAACUGACACUGUUUCAACUUUACAACACUUGAUCUUACACCAAGCCACACCAGCAAAUAAGUUUGCUGUGUCACCCAUCUACCUGGAGAAAAUCUGUCCAAACUUUCUUGGACACUUUCUUUAAGAAAGCAAACAAGACUCCAGAAAAAACCUGCAGACAAGACUCCUGAGAAGACUCCAGCCAAGAACCCUUCAAAAAGUCCAGCCAAGACCCUUUCAAAAUGUCCAGCAAAGUCACCUCAAAGAUGUCCUUCCAAAUCAACAUGAUUGGUAUUUACAAUAUAAAUACAUUAAUGUAGCUAUAUUACUAAUCUAUAAUUGAUCAAGUACAAAAUUCUGGAGCAUUUUUGGUGAAAAUAGGGUCUUGGGCCUUAGUCUGGGAACCAAUUCCCCCAUUUAUAAUGUUGUCUCCUAUGGUAAAAAUCAGUUUUGAGUUGCAACAUUUUGACUUAAGGUUCGGUUUUCAGGAACUAAUUGUGUCAUAAGUCUAAGGACUGCCUGUAUAAAUUCAAGUGCCUAACUUCAGGUGCUCAAAUUUGGAAGGAUUGGCCUUUGUCAGAGUUAAGGUUUUUUUCAACUGAUAGCAAUUCCCACAUCCUUGAAUCUGAGCUAAAUU